AAAUGAAAAACUCAAUCUAAAGACUCUACAGACGUUUCCCUCCUAAAAUAUUACUCAUUGACAGUUAUUCCCUAAAAAUAAUUGUGGCUCUUCACCUUCUUUCAAAUCCUCCGAUUUAAUCUCAAGAAAUAUUUUUAUUUUUAUAUUUAUGACAUUGUUUUUCUAAGGUUACUUAGAAUCAAAUUUAAGGUAUCAAAGUUAAGGAAUCCUCCACCAUUGACGUUCAAUUCUCUAAGUAUACUCAGAAUCAAAGUUCAAAUUGCUUGCAAAUCUACAUGAAAUCAAAGAUUCUUGGUGUAAGAUCUAAAAGAGCUGGACUGCCUAAUGGAAAAGGAGGGAAGUCAAGUAAAAAACUAGACAAUAGAGCAACAAAUAUUUCAAUUGUCUCCCAUAAUUCCGUCAGGAUCCCUUCAAUCUCAUAUUGGUUUACUUCAUGUCAAAACUCUUCCUCACAUAAACCAAAUCUUAAAGUCAAUCAAUCCUAGAAUUAUAACAAUGUUAUGCCUCCCAUAAUACCAUCACAACCCCUUUAUUCACAUACUAGUCUACUUCAUGAAAAUGAGUCUCAACCUGGUCUUGGGAUCCACCAACCCCAGCCUGCUAUAAUUAAAUCUUAACCUUAGUCUAAUUGACCCCAACCUACAAGUUAAGAUUCUGAACCAUUAAUGUCACCACCGGCCAAUAGGACUCCAACCACCUCACCUAAUAUAGUUGACAAUGUAGAUGAUGAUAAUCAAAUAUAGGUUGUACCUGAAGGGAAUGGAUAAUACAACUAAAGCUUAACAAUACAUAUAUUUAGGUGGACUAUUUAUAUAUGCAUAUGUUUGAUAACUACUAUAUGUUAUGUUGGUUUGAUCCACACAAGGUAGUUAUUAAUGGUAGACCUUCAUGGAAGAAGUUUCUAGAGUCUUCUCGCGAGAUGUGGUUUGAGGAAUUCAAGAAUGAGUUUGAAAGAAAAAAAAAACAAGAAAUAUUAGUUAGUCAAAGUGCAUCAGUUGUGGAUAGAGAAACUAAUUCAGCUGGUCAGCCUUCUCAGUUAAGUGAAAUGGAUAUCUGGGUGCAAUAUAUUGGUGCAAAGAAAAAGAAAUAUUCAAAGGUCUUGGCUCCCUGGGUCAAAGUGUAAAGGCAUCUAAGAAUUCAAUAUCAACUUUCCCAAAAGAAAUAGAUGAGAUGAUUAAGUCUCAAGUUGAUUCUUUAAAUGUUGACUUGUAUGCUCAGUUGCAGAAUGAGCGACAUAAAAAUAAGAGGAUGAGAAAGGAAUUAGACUUGUUGAUGAAUCAUGUAUAUAAUAAAUCAUCUUCGAAUGAUGAACGUCAAUCUCAAGAAGACAACCAAGCUUAUGAAGAUGAAAGUGAUGAUGACUCUGACAACGUGAAUGAAAGUGAUUCUAAUCGUGAUAACAUGAAUGAAAGUUAUUCUGAUGGUUGGUAGUUUUAUUAAGGAUUUAAGUUUGAAAUAUUAUGUUAUGGACCAUUUAAGAAUCAUACAUUAUUGAGUGGAUGUUAUGAAUUAUGUUUUUUGGUUAGUUGUAAUUGUUUACAUUAGACUUAUGUUGAAUGAUGUUUUUGA
Molecule: long non-coding RNA, 1569 nt
Organism: Capsicum annuum
Lineage: Eukaryota; Viridiplantae; Streptophyta; Magnoliopsida; Solanales; Solanaceae
Exons: 3
Source: RefSeq, a predicted model, not a curated record